UCCAACCUCCACAUCCACUUCCAGUUUUAUCCUCACUCCCACUUUCACCAAAAACACUUCGUGGCAAACGAGGCAUGAGUGUUAGCCGUAGCGGAAGCAAUUCUCAAACGGAGUUCGGAGAUCACAAGGCAGGCAGCUUGGGAACGAAAUAUGAAGCCGUUAGGAUGGUGGCUGAUGCUGGUUGGCACGCUCCGAUUAGCCUCCGUCUGGUUCGGUUUCUUUGACAUUUGGGCUCUUCGACUUGCCGUCUUCUCUAACACUGACAGUAGCUUCUAUCCUCUCGACUUCCACUAUUUAUGGAGUUUCUUGCAUUUCCACAAUGCUGCUUAUUUUCAAGCGCGCAUAGUUAGUAAUCUGUAAUCCCCUUAGAUCCACAGUGGAUUUCUGGAAUUCAGCCUGUUUAUUUUUCUAGGAGUCACUUUCAUCAAUGAAAUUAUCUCCCCACGUUAGGGUGUGGAGUGCGGACACCGUGGGUUUAUAGUAGAGGACUUUUUCUUAGGUAGCUGGGGACAAUUCGCUACUCCAGCGGCUGCAAUGGGUUGAGUGUAUAUUCGGAUCCCAGAGUUGUUUGCUGUGUCAAAUAACGUCUGAAGUUCAUGGACGAACAUUUGGAAUUUGGACAUUUUUGACCUGCACUCUUUGCUAUCUUUGUCCAUUCGACCUUGAAAAUAAGCCUCUUUAUCUGGAUAUUUUCUUGUCAUUCAUCUAUGCACUCGGUCAUUUCUUGAGUGAGAAUACCUGAUUUAUCACACGAUGGCAAUUUAAAACCUGACAACCGUUGGCAUAUUUGCAGGUGGGACUAAAGUGCAUUCAUGGGUUGAAGGUGUUGUGCCCUUGUAAACAAAGAUACGUGGCUAUGAAUGCCUCUUUGAUUUUCAUGCGCCACGUUGAAGGGAUGCUUUACCCACUUUGCAUUCCAACGUCAACAAGGCAUAAAACUUCAAACAUCACCUAGAAGUUUCAAGAAUCAGAAGAUCGGCCUGACAUUUUCCAGGAUUUUCUUGAAGGCACUUGCUUUAAUAAUCAAGUAAGACACGGAUCUUACGAUAAGCCAUGGAUGACUUUCCCAUUCGAGUCGGACAGUCUGUAGACGCAACUCCUUUACCAACUUCUGAAUGAGGAUUCAGGAAAAAACCAACAACGUUCAUUUUCAAACGCUAUUUGUCUAUAUGAACUCACAGAUCAGCACCAUUAGAGUCGUUA
Long non-coding RNA from Prosopis cineraria, 1203 nucleotides. RefSeq lists it as uncharacterized. The record is from RefSeq and is a predicted model, not a curated record. Lineage: Eukaryota; Viridiplantae; Streptophyta; Magnoliopsida; Fabales; Fabaceae. The transcript is spliced from 3 exons.